RNAcentral lists this ribosomal RNA (825 nucleotides) under Sphaerulina musiva. Its description in RNAcentral is "eukaryotic LSU rRNA". It matches the Rfam family "Eukaryotic large subunit ribosomal RNA", at positions 71 to 925 of the family's 3401-position model. Lineage: Eukaryota; Fungi; Ascomycota; Dothideomycetes; Mycosphaerellales; Mycosphaerellaceae. The record is from RNAcentral.
GGGAUUGCCCUAGUAACGGCGAGUGAAGCGGCAACAGCUCAAAUUUGAAAUCUGGCGCAAGCCCGAGUUGUAAUUUGUAGAGGAUGCUUCUGGGUAGCGACCGGUCUAAGUUCCUUGGAACAGGACGUCAUAGAGGGUGAGAAUCCCGUAUGUGACCGGCCCGCACCCUAUACGUAGCUCCUUCGACGAGUCGAGUUGUUUGGGAAUGCAGCUCUAAAUGGGAGGUAAAUUUCUUCUAAAGCUAAAUACCGGCCAGAGACCGAUAGCGCACAAGUAGAGUGAUCGAAAGAUGAAAAGUACUUUGGAAAGAGAGUUAAAAAGCACGUGAAAUUGUUGAAAGGGAAGCGCCUGCAAUCAGACUUCGCGGCAGUGUUCCACCGGUCUUCUGACCGGUCUACUCUCUGCCGCGAGGCCAUCAUCGUCUUGGCCCGCUGGAUAAGACCCUGGGAAUGUAGCUCCCCCUCGGGGGAGUGUUAUAGCCCCGGGUGAUGCAGCGCGGCUGGGGCGAGGUCCGCGCUUCGGCAAGGAUGAUGGCGUAAUGGUUGUCGGCGGCCCGUCUUGAAACACGGACCAAGGAGUCUAACAUCUAUGCGAGUGUUCGGGUGUCAAACCCCUACGCGUAAUGAAAGUGAACGGAGGUGGGAACCGCAAGGUGCACCAUCGACCGAUCCUGAUGUCCUCGGAUGGAUUUGAGUAAGAGCAUAGCUGUUGGGACCCGAAAGAUGGUGAACUAUGCCUGAAUAGGGUGAAGCCAGAGGAAACUCUGGUGGAGGCUCGCAGCGGUUCUGACGUGCAAAUCGAUCGUCAAAUUUGGGUAUAGGGGCG